AUUGAACGCUGGCGGCAUGCCUUACACAUGCAAGUCGAACGGUAACAGGUCUUCGGAUGCUGACGAGUGGCGAACGGGUGAGUAAUACAUCGGAACGUGCCUAGUAGUGGGGGAUAACUACUCGAAAAGUGGCUAAUACCGCAUGAGAUCUACGGAUGAAAGCAGAGGAUCGCAAGACCUUGUGCUACUAGAGCGGCCGAUGGCAGAUUAGGUAGUUGGUGGGAUAAAAGCUUACCAAGCCGACGAGCUGUAGCUGGUCUGAGAGGACGAUCAGCCACACUGGGACUGAGAAACGGCCCAGACUCCUACGGGAGGCAGCAGUGGGGAAUUUUGGACAAUGGGCGCAAGCCUGAUCCAGCAAUGCCGCGUGCAGGAUGAAGGCCUUCGGGUUGUAAACUGCUUUUGUACGGAACGAAAAGCCCCGGGUUAAUACCCUGGGGUCAUGACGGUACCGUAAGAAUAAGCACCGGCUAACUACGUGCCAGCAGCCGCCGUAA
This 497-nucleotide ribosomal RNA is filed under the name uncultured bacterium. RNAcentral's name for it is "partial 16S ribosomal RNA". It matches the Rfam family "Bacterial small subunit ribosomal RNA", at positions 30 to 523 of the family's 1533-position model. The record is from RNAcentral.